Molecule: non-coding RNA, 69 nt
Organism: Rattus norvegicus (Norway rat)
Lineage: Eukaryota; Metazoa; Chordata; Mammalia; Rodentia; Muridae
Source: Rfam
GGGGAUUUAGCUCAGUGGUAGAGCACUUGCCUAGCAAGCAUAAGGCCCUGGGUUCAGUCCCCAGCUCCG